Molecule: ribosomal RNA, 678 nt
Filed under: uncultured Gammaproteobacteria bacterium
Lineage: Bacteria; Pseudomonadati; Pseudomonadota; Gammaproteobacteria
Description: SSU rRNA
Rfam family: Bacterial small subunit ribosomal RNA
Source: RNAcentral
CUAGUUGGUGGGGUAAUGGCCUACCAAGGCGACAAUCCGUAGCUGGUCUGAGAGGACGACCAGCCACACCGGAACUGAGACACGGUCCGGACUCCUACGGGAGGCAGCAGUGGGGAAUAUUGGACAAUGGGGGAAACCCUGAUCCAGCGACGCCGCGUGUGUGAAGAAGGCCUGCGGGUUGUAAAGCACUUUUAGUGGGGACAAAAAGCUACGGAUUAAUACUCUGUGGUCUUGAUUUAACCCAAAGAAAAAGCACCGGCUAACUCUGUGCCAGCAGCCGCGGUAAUACAGAGGGUGCGAGCGUUAAUCGGAAUUACUGGGCGUAAAGCGCGCGUAGACGGUUUUGUAAGUCAGAUGUGAAAUCCCUGGGCUCAACCUGGGAACUGCAUUUGAGACUGCAUGGCUAGAGUAUGGAAGAGGGAAGUGGAAUUUCCGGUGUAGCGGUGAAAUGCGUAGAUAUCGGAAGGAACACCAGUGGCGAAAGCGACUUCCUGGUCCAAUACUGACGUUCAUGUGCGAAAGCGUGGGGAGCAAACAGGAUUAGAUACCCUGGUAGUCCACGCCAUAAACGAUGACAACUAGAUGUUGGGAGGGUCUGCCUCUCGGUGUCGCAGCUAACGCGUUAAGUUGUCCGCCUGGGGAGUACGGCCGCAAGGUUGAAACUCAAAGGAAUUGACG